GCGGGGUAACGGCCCACCAAGGCAACGAUCAGUAGGGGUUCUGAGAGGAAGGUCCCCCACAUUGGAACUGAGACACGGUCCAUACUCCUACGGGAGGCAGCAGUGAGGAAUAUUGGUCAAUGGACGGAAGUCUGAACCAGCCAAGUAGCGUGCAGGAUGACGGCCCUAUGGGUUGUAAACUGCUUUUGUAUGGGGAUAAAGUUAGGGACGUGUCCCUAUUUGCAGGUACCAUACGAAUAAGGACCGGCUAAUUCCGUGCCAGCAGCCGCGGUAAUACGGAAGGUCCAGGCGUUAUCCGGAUUUAUUGGGUUUAAAGGGAGCGUAGGCUGGAGAUUAAGUGUGUUGUGAAAUGUAGACGCUCAACGUCUGAAUUGCAGCGCAUACUGGUUUCCUUGAGUACGCACAACGUUGGCGGAAUUCGUCGUGUAGCGGUGAAAUGCUUAGAUAUGACGAAGAACUCCGAUUGCGAAGGCAGCUGACGGGAGCGCAACUGACGCUUAAGCUCGAAGGUGCGGGUAUCAAACAGGAUUAGAUACCCUGGUAGUCCGCACAGUAAACGAUGGAUGCCCGCUGCUGGUACCUGGUAUCAGCGGCUAAGCGA
RNAcentral lists this ribosomal RNA (601 nucleotides) under uncultured Prevotellaceae bacterium. RNAcentral describes it as "bacterial SSU rRNA". It matches the Rfam family "Bacterial small subunit ribosomal RNA", at positions 252 to 854 of the family's 1533-position model. Lineage: Bacteria; Pseudomonadati; Bacteroidota; Bacteroidia; Bacteroidales; Prevotellaceae. The record is from RNAcentral.